GAGCGGUAAGGCCCUUCGGGGUACACGAGCGGCGAACGGGUGAGUAACACGUGAGCAAUCUGCCCUUCACUCUGGGAUAGCCACCGGAAACGGUGAUUAAUACCGGAUAUGACCACUGCCCGCAUGGGUUGGUGGUGGAAAGUUCUGGCGGUGGAGGAUGAGCUCGCGGCCUAUCAGCUUGUUGGUGAGGUAAUGGCUCACCAAGGCUUCGACGGGUAGCCGGCCUGAGAGGGUGACCGGCCACACUGGGACUGAGACACGGCCCAGACUCCUACGGGAGGCAGCAGUGGGGAAUAUUGGACAAUGGGCGAAAGCCUGAUCCAGCAACGCCGCGUGAGGGAUGACUGCCUUCGGGUUGUAAACCUCUUUCAGCGGGGACGAAGCGCAAGUGACGGUACCCGCAGAAGAAGCACCGGCCAACUACGUGCCAGCAGCCGCGGUAAUACGUAGGGUGCGAGCGUUGUCCGGAAUUAUUGGGCGUAAAGGGCUCGUAGGCGGUUUGUCGCGUCGGGAGUGAAAACCCAGGGCUUAACCCUGGGCCUGCUUCCGAUACGGGCAGACUAGAGGUAUGCAGGGGAGAACGGAAUUCCUGGUGUAGCGGUGAAAUGCGCAGAUAUCAGGAGGAACACCGGUGGCGAAGGCGGUUCUCUGGGCAUUACCUGACGCUGAGGAGCGAAAGUGUGGGGAGCGAACAGGAUUAGAUACCCUGUAGUCCACACCGUAAACGUUGGGCGCUAGUGUGGGACACAUUCCACGUGUUCCGUGCCGCAGCUAACGCAUUAAGCGCCCCGCCUGGGGAGUACGGCCGCAAGGUAAAACUCAAAGAUGAGGGGGCCCGCACAAGCGGCGGAGCAUGCGGAUUAAUUCGAUGCAACGCGAAAACCUUACCUUUGACUGCCGAAAGCUCUAAGAUAAGCCCUUUAUUGGCAGGUCCACGUCGAGGUAUCCACACUCCUGGGGGGAC
RNAcentral lists this ribosomal RNA (964 nucleotides) under uncultured Nocardioides sp. RNAcentral describes it as "bacterial SSU rRNA". It matches the Rfam family "Bacterial small subunit ribosomal RNA", at positions 64 to 1053 of the family's 1533-position model. Lineage: Bacteria; Bacillati; Actinomycetota; Actinomycetes; Propionibacteriales; Nocardioidaceae. The record is from RNAcentral.